Molecule: microRNA precursor, 103 nt
Filed under: Marmota monax (woodchuck)
Lineage: Eukaryota; Metazoa; Chordata; Mammalia; Rodentia; Sciuridae
Source: RNAcentral
AUUCAAAUCACCUUAGGAUCUUGUGAAAAUGUGGAUUCUUGUUUGAGAGGCCUGGGGUGGGGGCAUGAUUCUAUAUUUCUAACAAGCUUCUAUUAAUGUUUAU